CCUGAAAGUAAUGCUGUUAAUUUCUUUCUUUGUCUAUCAAGAAUUAAGGAAAAAUUAGCGUAAAGCAGCAAUUCACAGUAUACUCAGUGAAGUCAUUCUAUACACAUUGACUAGUGUUUGGGAGAAACAGAGAAACAGAAAAGAGGAGGAAGAACUUAAACAAGAUUAGUUGUGUCUUGUUGUUGAUACACUUUAUCAGCGAGAAAAGGAGAAGAAUAUAUACUAAUUAUCAAGGAAGAAAACCUAUCAGAUCAAGCUUUAGGAACGUACAAUGUUGACUUUGAAACCGCAGAUAACGGAAACCUGAGAUUCGUUUGUUCUGAAGCUUCAAAAAAUGUCAUAACAGACAUUUGCUGGCCAUCACUUUGUUUUUGUUAAAUUGAACACCGGUUAUGAUGGGUCAUGGUUGUUUUCGAUGUGAUGCAAAUGCAAUCUUACAAGUACAUGAAAACCUUGUGCGAAGAGCUGACACGGUAGAUGUUUUUUAUUACUGCAAGUGCAGAGUAGACCUUAACAAGCCAAUUGUGAUUGUUCAUAAAAAAAAGGUGACCGCCCCAAGUGGAAAAAGUGAAGAACAUUGUUGCAGAUAGGUAUUUUGAUUUCCUAAUUUAUAAGAUAUCUGCAAGCGCAAAGACAGAUGUUCAAAAGCCUUUCCAAAUGCUUCUGAAGAGGUUGUCCUGGCCCCAAGUGCUGCUGAUGAAGUUGUUAAGGCCCCAAAUGCUGGUGACAAGGCUGGUCACAAAAGCAAAACAGAUGGUAGAAAGUUUAAUUCUGUUGCAAGAUCGGAUCCACCUUGUUCAAAGACAAUAAGGCUCGAUGAUUAUUUAGAUGAUUUUCUAAAGGGUCAGAAUCCGAGUCGGUGCUUCUACUAAGAGAGCAGUAACAACUACUCAUUCCUGCAUAAAGAUAUGUUGCAUAGAUACAGAUCCUCUCUGGAGUCUGGAUGUUUUUAUAUUUCUUAGAUUGAAUUUUCAGUGUCCUUGCUAACAGUGAAGUGAUGCAGAGAAUGUAGUGUGUUUUUCUAUUGUUGGUAGUAUCAUGUUUCCACAUGUUCCUGUAAACAGAGAAUUUUCAGUGGUUGAAGCAUCAGGUUGAAAUUGUCAUAUCAGGAGAUGUAGGUGCUGAAGCUAUGAUAGUCAGGCCCAAGUUUAUUUGAUGUAUUAGGCUUUAGCCAAGGGUAACAAGCACAGCCAACCACUCUGAAGCUUUGAUAGUCAGUCAGGCUGGUGACCAAACAAUUUCAUGCAAGGACUGAGACAAGCAAUAGAAGCAGUUGGUAAAGAGUUUUUAAUUACAUUAGCAGUGAAAUAAGCUUCUAAACCUCUAGGAAAUAUAAUGUUCAUGUAUCAAUAACACUACUGUGAAAAGCAAAUAAUAUUGCCUCCUUGGCUUCGUCUUCAAAGAAGCAGAUCUUUGAUUUGUUCAAAACUAGUAAUAAAAUAUGAAAGAAC
This is a long non-coding RNA of Papaver somniferum (opium poppy), 1451 nucleotides long. RefSeq lists it as uncharacterized. The record is from RefSeq and is a predicted model, not a curated record. Lineage: Eukaryota; Viridiplantae; Streptophyta; Magnoliopsida; Ranunculales; Papaveraceae. The transcript has 3 exons.